RNAcentral lists this unclassified non-coding RNA (7857 nucleotides) under Leishmania donovani. Its description in RNAcentral is "gene:LdHU3.13.0550(CDS-product:ATP-dependent_RNA_ helicase_putative)". Lineage: Eukaryota; Euglenozoa; Kinetoplastea; Trypanosomatida; Trypanosomatidae. The record is from RNAcentral.
UUUUCUCAGGUCAGCUUCAAAGCUGUUUUUGGCUCUCUCACACCACUGACACACACAUACACACACACGCGAGAAACAACAACAACAAAAACAGCGACCCCUCUUCCCUCGAGAGAUCAGCAAGCAGAAACAACUGCAACAGUAGCUGCGCGGUAUUCUCUCUCUUCCGCCUUGGUCUUCUGUCACGCGCGCCGUCUCUGCUCGGCGCCUGACAGACGCCACAGAAAAGUAAACAGCAAAGAAACAUAACGAGGUGUGUCUUUGCAGCGGCCCAUAGGCACACGAUCACACGUACGCGUACGCGUGUACGAGGUGGCACGGAAAACACAUGCAAAGCUCAUCACUACAAAAGAAGCGUCCGCUCAUUUUAUUUUCUGCUCAUCCUUUUUGUUUGCGGCUCUGAGGACGCAGCGGUCCAUCAUUACGAAGUGGCAAGUUGUCUUCCCCCUCAUCCCUUUCUUGUUGCCGCCUCUUGCUUUCCGCAUUGCCGGUAACAAAAGACGUCCUUCCACCAAGGGAAACGCACCCAACCUGCUCCACGCACACACACGAGAACAAAACACAGAAGGAAAGCUCAGGCAAAAAAGUAAGAGGAAAGAAAACAACAGCAAGGCAUACGAAAAAAAAAAGAAAACAAAGAAAAGAGUUGUCACCACCGCUGGCUGAAGGGGAUAUUGUUGCGUGCAUAGAUCUCUCUAUUAUUUCCGUCUUUCGUCUCCCCUUCUCUGUUUUGUUUUGUGGCUUCUCUGGAGCUCAGACUGCCUCAGUCAUCCUCUUCCCACCCCCUCGCCUGUUACGUAUUUGGUGUUUUGUUCUUUUUUUUUUGUCUCCACGCCGUGCUGCUUUCGCUCUUCUCAGUAGGGCAAGAGAAAAAAGGGAAAGGGGACGUCUGCCCUCCUCCUCUGCCUUUAUUUGUUUCAGUCGCGUGCGUUUCUUGGCGUUGCUGCUUGCAGACACCGUCGCUUGCCUUCUGCACUUACUCGCUGUUUGUGUUUCUUUUUCGCUCUUCGAGGUUGUCGCGCUGGGCAUCAAGUCUGUGUGGAACCACAGGAGACCAUGCAAUCCUCUGGUCCCCCUGGAAAACCGCCGUGGGGCGGAGGUCGCGGCCCCUGGGGCGCCAAUAACAGCAGCGCCAACAACGCUGUCGUUCAGCCAUCCUUUCACGACAGGAGCACCAGAAGAGGCCCCAGCGGAAAGAUCAACACCACCAACAACAGUGGCAACAACAACAACCAACCUGCAAAGCAGAGCCACGCUCACGACAGCACGGCAGAGCAGAGCAUCCAAAGUGGAGAUCCGAUGGGCAGCCCAGCGGAUCGGAAGGCGCCUGAUGUACAGGCCCGUGACGUGGGGGGCUUUUACGGGAAGGAAAAGCCAACUGCGAGCUCUCGCUCGCAGCAAGGAAAUCGUGGCCAUGCCACCGCCAGCGUGGGCAGCGACGGCGGCGCAGGUGCUGUGGGGACCAGUGCGGCGAUCGAUGCCACGCUGAAGCGUCUGACGGUGCUUCUCAACCGAAGGUUCUUCCACUCCAAUCAGCAGCAGGGGGUGUCGCAUCAGCAAAACUCUGUGGCGCAAAGCAGCUUGUCAGAGGAUAUCUUUACGGGUGGCGUGCAGACGAACAGCUUCGUGUCCGAGUGCAUGCAGGCGCAGAGGCCCGUGGCGCUGCUCACCCACUCUGGCGAGCCGCUGUCGCCGCGCGGCGAUCGCGUCGGUGGAUCUGGCCGCUCGGCGUACCAGGCGCAACGCAAGAUUUCGCUGGAUAUGCUACUCUCCAGCGUUGACGAUAUCGUGUCACAGGUAUACGUGAACUUUGACGAGGAUCUCACCAAGGUACUGCUCAACGCACUCGAUCGCGUCACGGCGUGCGACACACUGGAUCAGAGGGAGCGAACAAAGGUGCGCGUGAUCGACGAGCUGCUUGAGGUGCUCGGAGACAAGCAUUACGACCUGCUGCAGUGCGUUAUGUACCGCCCUCGCGAGGUCUUCCUCCGGCUCCUGGAGGAGUUCUGCACCUUGGAGGAUGCCGGGGAUGCCACGACGAGCCAGUCCUCUAGCGGCCCGAAGGGGCUGACGGUGCGCUUCGUGAAGAACAAUCAGCGCUCGCAGGGGCAGGAUGUGGUGAUCAACGACGCGGGCAAGCUCACCGACCAGAAGUGGCUUGCCCACAUGAACAGGCGCUACCGUGUCUUGAUGCAGGAGUCCGAGCUGGAUGAGCUCUUUAAGCGGGACUUCAGCGUGACCGGGUCCAUUAUGCCGACAGGCGCUACUGUCACCAAAAAGUCGGGGCACGUGCGCAUCCACAUUCCCCCUCCAAGGCAGGAGAUCUUACCUGAGAGCAAGCGCGUCUGCGUUGCGACGUCCCUGCCAGAGUGGACACACCCAGCCUUUCUCUCCAUCACGCACCUCAACACGAUUCAGACAACGAUCUUUGAGACAGCGUUUCACACAUCGCAGAACAUGCUGGUGUGCGCGCCGACGGGUGCGGGUAAGACGGUGUGUGGGCUGCUUGUGAUGCUGCGGUGCAUCAGCGAGCACUUUGAGGGCGGUGUGCUGGAUCGAGACUUCAAGAUCAUCUUUGUUGCCCCAAUGAAGGCGCUCGCGCAGGAGAUGGUUGAGAACUUCUCGCGCCGCCUGGCACCGUUCAUGAUAAAGGUGCGCGAGCUUACGGGCGACAUGCAGCUGACCAAGCGGGAGCUGGCGGAGACGCAGGUGAUCGUGACAACGCCGGAGAAGUGGGACGUCAUCACCCGCAAGCAGAGCAACGAGGAGCUGGUAAGCCAAGUGCGGCUCAUCAUCAUGGAUGAGAUUCAUCUCCUGAACGAAGAGCGCGGCCCGGUGCUAGAGGCGUUGGUCGCGCGCACACUGCGGCACGGCGAGCUGAAUCCGGAGCAGCGCGUCCGUCUGGUGGGCCUCUCCGCCACGCUGCCCAACUACAAGGACGUGGCGAACUUCCUGCAGGCGGACUUGCGGGAGGGUCUGAAGGUGUUCGGCCCGGAGUAUCGCCCUGUCCCGCUGGAGCAGACAUUUAUUGGCCUGCAAAACACAUCUGGGGCGCAGAAGCGCAACAAGGAGUUCGAGCUCGAUCGCCUGGCGUAUGAGGAGGUGGUGAAGAAUGUGCGGGAGGGGCACCAGGUAAUGGUGUUUGUGCACUCGCGGAAGCAGACGGUGGGGCUGGCCAAGUACUUUAUCGAGGAGUCGACGCGCCGUGGGGAGGAGCACCUGUUUCAGUACAAAGGUGUCAUGCCCUCAGCGAUCGAGAAGAAGGGCCGCACGCUCCAGGGACGCGACUUGACCUCGUUAUUCGCCGCGGGCUUUGGCGCGCACCACGCCGGCCUCGUUCGCUACGACCGCACCACUACCGAAGGCUUCUUCAGGGACGGGUACUUGCGAGUGCUGUGCUGCACGAGUACCCUGGCGUGGGGUGUGAACCUGCCGGCGCACACGGUGGUCAUUCGCGGCACGCAAAUGUACGACCCCAAGCGCGGUGGCCUCGUCUCCAUUUCGGUGCUGGAUGUGAUGCAGAUCUUCGGCCGCGCUGGUCGUCCGCAGUUCGACACGAGCGGACAUGGCAUCAUCAUCUCAGAUGACAAGGAGGUGAGCCACUUCCUCCGGCUCAUCGCACACGCCCUGCCUAUCGAGAGCCAGAUGCAAGGUAAGCUGUGCGACCACCUGAACGCCGAGGUGAACGCCGGCACGAUAUCCUCCGUGAUGGAGGCCUCCUCGUGGCUGGAGUACACGUACAUGUGGCAGCGGAUUCGGGUGAAUCCGCUGACGUACGGGCUGAAGGUGAACAAUGUUCGCAAAGACCCGGAGCUCAAGACAGUGCGGUACAGUAUGAUCAACACUUCGUUCACCGAACUCGCCAUUGCGGGCAUGGUGCGCUACAACCCGGAGACGGGCUCGGUGGAGAGCACCGAUCUCGGCCGUCUCGCGAGCCACUACUACAUCACCUACGAGAGCAUCAGUAUAUUCAACGAGAAGAUGCGCCGCCCCGAUGACACGUGGAUCGACGCGUUGGACAUGGGCACCGCCAUGAACAUCGCCGCCUCGGCAAAGGAGUUCAGCCAGCUGAAAGUGCGGCAGGAGGAGCUGGAUGAGCUGCAGAACCUGCACCAGCUGCUGCCGAAGCAGGUGCGUGAGUACCGGGUGAGUGGCGAGAGCGCCGACGAGACAAGCACGCAGUGGAAGGUGACGACGUUGCUCAAGGCGUACAUCAACCGCCUUUCUGUUGAGACGCAUUCUCUGUCCUCCGACAUGUUGUACGUGCUGCAGAACAUGCCCCGCAUCUGCCGCGCCCUCUUCGAGAUUGAGCUGGAGCGUGGCCACCCCCUCACCACGUACACGUACUUGACGCUGUGCAAGUGCAUUGAGCACCGCUGCUGGGACUUUGAGCACCCGCUGAUGCAGUUCGCGAAUUGGAGCCACCGGGUGAACAUCACAGACGCGGUGUGGAUGAACCUGAACAAGUGCAACCCGAGCAUGCAGCUGCUGCAAGAGAUGACGGCGAAGGAGGUGGGGGAGAUGGUGCACAACGUGCGCGCCGGUCGCGACAUUGCCGAUCUGGUGUCGAAGUUUCCCUCGGUGAACAUCGACAUUGAUGUGCAGCCCAUCACCCGCUCCAUCCUGCGCGUCAAGGUGACGAUUGAGGCGGAUUUUGUGUGGAGUCGCGACUUGUCCGGCAACUCCGAGGUGUUCUGGCUGCUGGUGGAGGACCAGGACAACCACUUCAUCUUCCACCACGAGUCGGUCACGCUCACACGCAAGGAGGUGGAGACCGGCACGCCGCACGUGGUGAAUCUUGCUGUUCCGAUUGUGCCCCAGUACGACAUGUACGCGGUGCGCCUCUACAGUGACCGCUGGAUGGGCUGCAAGGAGGACUACACCUUCUCCAUCGGCCACCUGCACCUUCCGGAGGACUCGCAGAUGACGACGAAGCUGCUGCCGCUGAGCCCGCUUCGGCUGCACGUGAUCCCGGAGGAGUACCAUGCUAUGUACCGAAACUACCGCCAGUUCAACGCGGUGCAGACGCAAAUCUUCUACACCAUGUUUCACACAGACCAGAACGUCUUCCUUGGUGCGCCGACGGGCAGUGGUAAGACGAUUGCGGCAGAGAUGGCCAUCCUCCGCGUGUUUGAGCAGUAUCCCGGGAAGAAGGUGGUGUAUAUCGCGCCGCUCAAGGCCCUUGUGAAGGAGCGGCUGCGUGACUGGAAGGCCCGCAUGAUGCUUGUGGGGCGCUCCGUGGUGGAGCUGUCGGGUGAUGCGACGCCGGACAUUAGCGCGCUCGCCAAGGCGGACAUCUUGUGCACGACUCCGGAGAAGUGGGAUGGCAUUUCGCGUAACUGGCAGGUGCGCAGCUACGUCACGGCCGUGAAGCUGGUUGUGUUUGAUGAGGUGCACAUGCUGGGCACCGACCGUGGUCCGAUUCUGGAGGUGAUUGUGAGCCGCAUGCGCUACAUCGGGUGGAACCGGAAGGCGCCGAUCCGCUUGGUAGGUCUCUCCACGGCCGUCUCGAACCCGGGCGACCUGAGCUCGUGGCUUGGUGUGGAGAAGAAGUGGGCCGUGUUCAACUUUGACCCGUCAGUGCGUCCGGUGCCGAUGACCGUGCACAUUGCGGGCUACCAUGGCAAGAACUACUGCCCCCGCAUGGCCACCAUGAACAAGCCGACGUACAACGCCAUUUGCGAGAAGAGCCCAACGCAGCCGGUGAUUGUGUUCGUCUCGUCGCGGCGGCAGACGCGACUGACGGCCAUGGCCCUCAUCGGCUUCCUGCUGAUGGAGGGCAACACGGCCAAGUGGGUGCACAUGAAUGUGGAUCAGGUGCAGGAGUACACCUCAAAGCUGGAUGACCCGUACGUGAAGCACUGCCUGCAGUUCGGCGUCGGCAUCCACCACGCCGGGUUGCUGGAGGGCGACCGCACGAUUGUGGAGGAGGCCUUCCUGUCAAAUCGCAUUCAGGUUCUGGUAGCGACGUCGACCUUGGCGUGGGGUGUCAACUUCCCUGCGCACAUGGUUGUGGUGAAGGGCACCGAGUACUACGACGCCAAGACAAACUCCUACGUGGACUUCCCGAUCACGGAUGUGCUGCAAAUGAUCGGCCGUGCCGGGCGUCCGCAGUUUGACACGGAGGGCGUGGCCCAGGUGCUGUGCCACGAGCCGAAGAAGGGCUUCUACCGCAAGUUCCUCUACGACCCUUUCCCGGUGGAGAGCGCGCUGCACAAGCAGCUGCACGUCCACAUCAAUGCCGAAAUUGUGUCGGGGACGAUCAACACUCGUCAGGAUGCAGUGAACUACCUGACGUGGACCUACCUCUUUCGCCGAAUUGCACGCAACCCCUCCUACUACGGCCUGGAGGACGGCUCUCCCAAGGCGGUCACCAUCUUCCUCUCCACCCUGGUGAAGGGCGUGCUGGCGGACCUUGAGCGGUGCGGCUGUAUUGAACAGCCGGAUGCAAUGGACGAGGAUGCAGACCCGGAUGCGAUUCAGUACACCGUCCUAGGCAAGUUGUGUUCGUACUACUACAUCUCCCACAUCACGGUGGACUUGUUCAACCGCAACAUCGAGCCGGAUCACUCCUGCGGCGAGCUUCUGCGUCUCCUGUGCGACGCGGAGGAGUUCAACGAGUUGCCGGUGCGCCACAACGAAGACAAGCUGAACAUGGAACUGGCGCGUCAGCUGCCGCUGCCUGUCCGCGACGCAGAGGCGGACAGUCCGCAUGCCAAGGCGUUCCUCCUCUUCCAGGCGCUCUUUGAGCGUGCGCCGAUGCCUAUCACUGACUACAUUACAGAUCAGAAGUCCGCCAUGGACAACGCAGUGCGUGUGAUUCAGGCCAUGGUGGACGUGGCCGCCAACAACGGCCACCUGUACGCCGCGCUGCGUUGCAUGACGCUCAUGCAGUGCAUGGUGCAGGCCCGCUGGUGGGACGAUAACUCUCUGCUGCAGAUCCCGAAUGUAGUCAAGGCGAUGCUUCCGGUGAUUGAAAAGGAGUGCGACGGGGUGCGUCACGCGGCGGAGCUGGCGAACCGCCCGUUGGCAGUGCUGCAGAAGUUCCAGAAGGUGCUCGAGAUGCCCGUAUUCGGGCUGCGAGAGCGGGACGUGAACGAGUCGAUGGAGGCGGUGCGCGGGCUGCCGCUCAUCCAGGUCGACCUCACCAUUCAGCAGCAGCAUCCUGCUGCAGCGGAGGAAAUGAAUGCGGAAGACGAGGAGACCGUCGUGACGUACGAGCUGGCGGUGCAUCUGCAGCGGCUUUCCUUCGGACAGAAGAGCGUCAUCGCGCCGCACUUCUCGAAGGCCAAGGAUGAGCAGUACUGGGUAGUUGUCGGCCACGAGCCGACAGGCGAGCUUGUUGCGUUGAAGCGUGUGAAUCGGCUGCGACAGAGCAGCACGGCGACGCUGCGGAUCGACUGGGACGAGGACUGGGUGCAGUACAGCCCCGACGGCACCGUGGAGCUGAAUCUGUAUCUCGUGUGUGACUCGUAUAUCGGCAUGGAUCAGCAGUACAGCUUCAUCCUUCCUCAGUUCAAACUGAGCUGCUGCUCCGGCGGCGCAGAAGGGAGUUGCUAGGAGUACCUUCGAGUGCAUUGUGAAUGGCAAGAUCGUGCUGCACGAGCACGAGCACAUAAACGUGCAUACACACAUACACACACACACACAGACACACCAAGACGUAUAUGCUCUUCCUUGUGUAAAACGGGUGUGAGUAUCCACACCAGCAGUAUGUGCGGUCGCUGCUGCUUGCGUCACUUGAAGGUACGGCACGCGGAGUCACUGCGGUUGACAUCUCGGGCACGGGCAGAGAGCACUUGAGGUCACAGUGAGGGGCGUCGCUCCCUUCCCAGCAUCUAUGCUGCUCUUUCGACU